RNAcentral lists this ribosomal RNA (253 nucleotides) under uncultured bacterium. RNAcentral's name for it is "partial 16S ribosomal RNA". It matches the Rfam family "Bacterial small subunit ribosomal RNA", at positions 524 to 776 of the family's 1533-position model. The record is from RNAcentral.
GACGUAGGGUGCAAGCGUUGUCCGGAAUUAUUGGGCGUAAAGAGCUCGUAGGCGGUUUGUCGCGUCGAAUGUGAAAACCCGGGGCUCAACCCCGGGCCUGCAUUCGAUACGGGCAGACUAGAGUUCGGUAGGGGAGUCUGGAAUUCCUGGUGUAGCGGUGAAAUGCGCAGAUAUCAGGAGGAACACCGGUGGCGAAGGCGGGACUCUGGGCCGAUACUGACGCUGAGGAGCGAAAGCGUGGGGAGCAAACAGG